GACGAACGCUGGCGGCGUGCCUAAUACAUGCAAGUAGAACGCACAGUUUAUACGGUAGCUUGCUACACCAUAGACUGUGAGUUGCGAACGGGUGAGUAACGCGUAUGUAACCUGUCUGGUAGCGGGGGGUAACUAUUGGAAACGAUAGCUAAUACCGCAUAAUAUUAAUUAUUGCAUGGUAAUUAAUUGAAAGGUGCAAUUGCACCACUACUAUAUGGACCUGAGUUGUAUUAGCUAGUAGGUGAGGUAACGGCUCACCUAGGCGGCGACACAUAGCCGAGCUGGAGAGGUGGUCCGCCCCAAUGGGAACGGGGCAAGGGCCAGAACCCCUAGGGGGGGCGCAGUAGGGGAAUAUCGGAAAUGGAGGAAAGUCUUAACGAGGAAAGCCGCGUGAGUGAAGAAGGUUCUCGGGUUGUAAAGGUCUGUUGUAAGGGAAGGAAGGGUGGGAGAGUGGAAAGUUCACACCGUGACGGUACCUUACCAGAAAGGGACGGCUAACUACGUG
Molecule: ribosomal RNA, 505 nt
Filed under: uncultured bacterium
Lineage: Bacteria
Description: partial 16S ribosomal RNA
Rfam family: Bacterial small subunit ribosomal RNA
Source: RNAcentral